AGACAACCAACAAAUCUAGAGUGUGGCUAUUACGUGAUGUGUUUCAAUUUAAGAUAUAAUUUCUUUAUUUUAAUACCACGACGUUUUCUUUCAAAACCAUUGUUUUAUUACUUGUAUCACGUCUGUUUUUGUUCUUUAUUUGCAGUUUGACAGGAAAAAGGAACCAGUUGUGUAUACUCAAGAACAUAUUGACGAAGUUAGGCUGGAAUGGGCAGAAUUCACGAACAAGCAAUUACAGAACAAUAUAUAAGUGAUAAUGUAUAUAUUUAUUUUUAAAAUGUUUAGGUUUAUUU
RNAcentral lists this long non-coding RNA (293 nucleotides) under Prunus persica (peach). RNAcentral's name for it is "long non-coding RNA (PPER_LNC007725)". The record is from RNAcentral. Lineage: Eukaryota; Viridiplantae; Streptophyta; Magnoliopsida; Rosales; Rosaceae.